GAUACCCUAUUAUUGAAAAUGUAAAUAUUUAAAUUAAUUAGUAUUUGUUAUGUUCAUAAAAAUUAAAGAAUUUGGCGGUAUUUUAGUCUAUUCAGAGGAACCUGUUCUAUAAAUGAUAUUCCACGAUUUAUAUUACCUAUUUUAUUAGUUUGUAUACCGCUGUAGUUGAAUAUUUUAUAAGAAUUUUAAUAUUCAUGAUUUUUGUUUAAAAAAAAAUCAAGUCAAGGUGUAGCUUAUAAAUAGGCAGUAAUGGGUUACAAUAAAUUUAUUUAUAUUGGAUUGUUUAAUUAAAUUUAAAUUUAAAAUUGGAUUUGAUAGUAAUUUUAAAUAAUUAUUUAAAAUGAUUAUAGCUCUAAAAUAU
Molecule: ribosomal RNA, 361 nt
Filed under: Bathysciola sisernica
Lineage: Eukaryota; Metazoa; Arthropoda; Insecta; Coleoptera; Leiodidae
Description: partial 12S ribosomal RNA
Source: RNAcentral